GACGAACGCUGGCGGCGUGCUUAACACAUGCAAGUCGAACGGAAAGGCCCUGCUUGCAGGGUACUCGAGUGGCGAACGGGUGAGUAACACGUGGGUGAUCUGCCCUGCACUUCGGGAUAAGCCUGGGAAACUGGGUCUAAUACCGGAUAGGAGCCAUUUUUAGUGUGAUGGUUGGAAAGUUUUUUCGGUGUAGGAUGAGCUCGCGGCCUAUCAGCUUGUUGGUGGGGUAAUGGCCUACCAAGGCGGCGACGGGUAGCCGGCCUGAGAGGGUGGACGGCCACAUUGGGUCUGAGAGGCGGCCCAGACGCCGACGGGAGGCAGCAGUGGGGAAUAUUGCACAAGGGGCGCCAGCCUGAUGCAGCGACGCCGCGUGGGGGAUGACGGCCUUCGGGUUGUAAACUCCUUUCGCUAGGGACGAAGCUUUUUGUGACGGUACCUAGAUAAGAAGCACCGGCUAACUACGUG
RNAcentral lists this ribosomal RNA (465 nucleotides) under uncultured bacterium. RNAcentral describes it as "partial 16S ribosomal RNA". It matches the Rfam family "Bacterial small subunit ribosomal RNA", at positions 28 to 507 of the family's 1533-position model. The record is from RNAcentral.